CCAGAUGGAAACUUCCCAAAGAUCUAUCAGUGGUGGAAUGGAUAACGUUCAGUGUGUGCAUACUGCGAAAUACACAGCAAUCAAUAAGAAUGAAUAACCACUGUCAGCAAUGACAAAUAUCAAUCUCACAGACAUAAGGUGGGGAAAAAGAAGGCAGAUACAAAAUGUAAUUUUAUUUAUAUCAAGUUUAAGAAUAAGCAAACCUCACCUAUGAGGCUAUCAGAAGACAAGAGAGUUACUUGUUGAGGGGAGUAUGGGGACGGUGGAUGGCUGGAUUUAACCAUGAGACGAGCAUUCAGGGUGCUAGCAAAGCUCCGUUCCUGGAGCUAGGUGCUGACUUCCUGGGUAUGAAGAGUUUAUGAAAAUGAAAACUCAUUGAGCUCUACACUUAAGGAGUUGUGCGCUUUUCUGUGAGUAUAUUAUAGACCAGAAAAGUUUAAAGUAUUGAAGCUCUGGAUCAUUACAUACACACACACAUAGGUAUGCGUAUACAAAAGCAAAACUGAUCUUUUUUGUAUUAGGCUAAAAAAGUGGCACUUGAGUUAAGGAUGACGUGUCUUGCCCUUUAUCAUAAAAUUUUAUGUGUGAAAACUUUAUGCCAAGCAAAACAAUAAACACUUAAUUCAUUCUUUGCCUCUUGCAUGUCGUUGCCAUCAGAAACAACAUUUUAUCGAGUAAGAAAUCAUUUCUUUUUAUAAUUUCUUUCAAGGUCAAGUCCCGCUAAGCCUGCUCUCACACCAAACACACAUCCACAUUAAGCACUGAAGUUUGCACCUCAUUUGAAGUUUUGAUCCAGUGCCAGGGACCUCUUGUGAGCAUAAAAUACUACAGGGACACAGCAGGACAAACAACCAGUUCUGCCUGGAGGAAUCUGGAAAGCAUUUCCCGAGAAGUAUAUGUAACAGGGCUUCUGCACAAGGAUCCGUAGGUCACCAGGUCAAGGCUCAGUUAUUAGAUGAAAUGAGAGUGAUGAGCUGGAGGAUGGGCCGUGCUCCGAUGGGAUUCUGGUUUCUUUGUAUUAACACCAAUCCCAUGGGGAUAUUUUCAUUGCCUGAUCAUGAACAAAAGAGAAUGGCUACAGUGUAUCCAGAUUAUGGAGCAAAAUCGUUUUAAAUGAAUUCAAAGCGGUUGCCUUACUUCACCGAUUAAAC
This 1151-nucleotide long non-coding RNA is filed under the name Bos indicus x Bos taurus (hybrid cattle). RNAcentral describes it as "lncRNA (ENSBIXG00005031205.1)". The record is from RNAcentral. Lineage: Eukaryota; Metazoa; Chordata; Mammalia; Artiodactyla; Bovidae.